CCUACGGGAGGCUGCAGUGGGGAAUAUUGCACAAUGGGCGCAAGCCUGAUGCAGCCAUGCCGCGUGUGUGAAGAAGGCCUUCGGGUUGUAAAGCACUUUCAGCGGGGAGGAAGGCGUUAAGGUUAAUAACCUUGGCGAUUGACGUUACCCGCAGAAGAAGCACCGGCUAACUCCGUGCCAGCAGCCGCGGUAAUACGGAGGGUGCAAGCGUUAAUCGGAAUUACUGGGCGUAAAGCGCACGCAGGCGGUCUGUCAUGUCGGAUGUGAAAUCCCCGGGCUCAACCUAGGAACUGCAUUCGAAACUGGCAGGCUAGAGUCUUGUAGAGGGGGGUAGAAUUCCAGGUGUAGCGGUGAAAUGCGUAGAGAUCUGGAGGAAUACCGGUGGCGAAGGCGGCCCCCUGGACAAAGACUGACGCUCAGGUGCGAAAGCGUGGGGAGCAAACAGGAUUAGAUACCCCUGUAGUC
Molecule: ribosomal RNA, 465 nt
Filed under: uncultured Klebsiella sp.
Lineage: Bacteria; Pseudomonadati; Pseudomonadota; Gammaproteobacteria; Enterobacterales; Enterobacteriaceae
Description: bacterial SSU rRNA
Rfam family: Bacterial small subunit ribosomal RNA
Source: RNAcentral